Syzygium oleosum is the source of this 1025-nucleotide long non-coding RNA. RefSeq lists it as uncharacterized. The record is from RefSeq and is a predicted model, not a curated record. The transcript is spliced from 4 exons. Lineage: Eukaryota; Viridiplantae; Streptophyta; Magnoliopsida; Myrtales; Myrtaceae.
UUCGACUUCAAAUGCUUGCACGCUUGAAGGAGAGCUAGGGUUUCAACUUGUCCAACUGUAGAAGCAUAAACACUCAUGGCAAACCCAUCCACCGCUUUUCCAGUAUGAUCUUUGCAAAUACACGCUAUACUUCGUUUUGAUCUACUUUCCGCAAACGAUCCAUCCACGUUCACCUUCAACUCGCUGCUCUUGGGUGGCUUCCAUUCCUCAGAGUCCACCACAUUCGAUGGCUCAGGAGCUCAUUUAUAAAAACAAAAUUGUUUCUUGCUUUCCACAUCUCCCAAAGCAUUGAUGCCAACCACUUUAGUGAAGGUCUGGGUGUCGCCAAACGUCGUUUGUCCACUUGCAUAGCAGAAAGAUAUGUUCUAUAAUUUUUGGGCCUUGCCUACAUAGAGGACACACCGGUUCAGUUUCAGGCUAUUAUAUCCGCAACAACUGCCACGACCUCUACUGCGACGUAGCCACUGAGAGACACAACAAAGAAGAAUCCUAGCUUAUCUUUCUGUCAAGCAUUUUGUCGAACACUAGAUCUGCACGUGGAAGUAGCUUCCGAUUAGCAAAGGAUUGGAGGCUCAAUCAAGGAGGUGAUGAACCAGAUGAGUCAAGCAGCCGCUGAGAAGGCUUGGUUUCAAGACGCAUCAACUGGUAACAACGAACUGAAACCAGCAGUGAAGAAGGAACCGUAACCACGGUUGGACAGCGACUCGAUUAAAUGAUAUGGCUCUGGGUGGAAGUGGAAGCACAGAGACGUAGGGUGGUGUAGACGAUGGAGGAUUGGAGGCGCAAUGGACGAUGAGGAAGGCCUCUCAUAUCGAAAUCGAGAGAGGAAGCUCCCAUAGAAGGGAGAGGUUCGACUCGUUGUCGACUUGGGUAGCCUCGAAAGUUAAAGAAGUCUUUCUACAAUCAUCCACAACACUCUUUUUCUUCUUUCGGAGACGAUGUUCCUUCUGUUGCGGUCACAGGAAGAAAUCACCCAUUUUGCAUCACGAAUUUUUAUAAACUCAUAAUUCACGGAUUUUCCUUCA